UGGGGAAUCUUCCGCAAUGGGCGAAAGCCUGACGGAGCAACGCCGCGUGGGGGACGAAGGCCUUCGGGUCGUAAACCCCUGUCAUGGGGAAAGAAGGGCGCCGGGGUGAACAGCCCCGGUGCUUGACGGUACCCCAGGAGGAAGCCACGGCCAACUCCGUGCCAGCAGCCGCGGUAAUACGGAGGUGGCAAGCGUUGUUCGGAAUUACUGGGCGUAAAGGGCGCGUAGGCGGGGCGACAAGUCGGGUGUGAAAUCCCUCGGCUCAACCGAGGAACUGCGCCCGAAACUGUCGCUCUUGAGUCCCGGAGAGGAAGAUGGAAUUCCCGGUGUAGCGGUGAAAUGUGUAGAGAUCGGGAGGAACACCGGUGGCGAAGGCGGUCUUCUGGACGGUGACUGACGCUGAGGCGCGAAAGCGUGGGGAGCAAACGGG
This 430-nucleotide ribosomal RNA is filed under the name uncultured bacterium. RNAcentral describes it as "bacterial SSU rRNA". It matches the Rfam family "Bacterial small subunit ribosomal RNA", at positions 355 to 776 of the family's 1533-position model. The record is from RNAcentral.